GCAGAAAUAGUUCAGUUGGGAAAGCGUUAGACUGAAGAUCUAAAGGUCCCUGGUUCGAUCCCGGGUUUCGGCA
RNAcentral lists this transfer RNA (73 nucleotides) under Danio rerio (zebrafish). It matches the Rfam family "tRNA". From Rfam's summary of the family: Transfer RNA (tRNA) molecules are approximately 80 nucleotides in length. Their secondary structure includes four short double-helical elements and three loops (D, anti-codon, and T loops). The record is from Rfam by way of RNAcentral. Lineage: Eukaryota; Metazoa; Chordata; Actinopteri; Cypriniformes; Danionidae.